ACGGAAGGCAGCAGUGGGGAAUAUUGGGCAAUGGGCGAAAGCCUGACCCAGCGACGCCGCGUGGGGGAAGAAGGUCUUCGGAUUGUAAACCUCUUUCAGCAGGGAAGAAGAAGAUGACGGUACCUGCAGAAGAAGUCACGGCUAACUACGUGCCAGCAGCCGCGGUAAUACGUAGGUGGCGAGCGUUAUCCGGAAUUACUGGGUGUAAAGGGUGUGUAGGCGGAGAAGCAAGUCAGGCGUGAAAUUUGUGGGCUCAACUCACAAACUGCGCUUGAAACUGUUUCCCUUGAGAGUGGGAGAGGUAAACGGAAUUCCUGGUGUAGUAGUGAAAUGCGUAGAUAUCAGGAGGAACACCGGUGGCGAAGGCGGUUUACUGGACCACAACUGACGCUGAGACACGAAAGCGUGGGGAGCAAACGGGAUUAGAUACCCUGGUA
RNAcentral lists this ribosomal RNA (437 nucleotides) under uncultured Oscillospiraceae bacterium. RNAcentral's name for it is "bacterial SSU rRNA". It matches the Rfam family "Bacterial small subunit ribosomal RNA", at positions 341 to 792 of the family's 1533-position model. Lineage: Bacteria; Bacillati; Bacillota; Clostridia; Eubacteriales; Oscillospiraceae. The record is from RNAcentral.